CGCGCCGGCGCGGUGGCGUCACGCGUCGCGUCUCUCGCCGGUGAGCGGCGGCCGCAGCCUGAGGGGUGUGCCGCCCUUCUGCUGCGCCUGCCCCACAGCGGCGGAUCCAUGUCUUUCCUUGUAAGUAAACCCGAGCGCAUUAGGCGGUGGGUGUCUGAGAAGUUCAUUGUUGAGGGAUUAAGAGAGUUCGAGCUGUUUGGAGACAAAUGAGGCGAGCUCCGAGUCGAUAGCUU
This 233-nucleotide long non-coding RNA is filed under the name Chloebia gouldiae (Gouldian finch). RNAcentral's name for it is "Erythrura gouldiae (Gouldian finch) lncRNA (ENSEGOG00005013414.1)". Lineage: Eukaryota; Metazoa; Chordata; Aves; Passeriformes; Passeridae. The record is from RNAcentral.